GGCUCAGGAUGAACGCUGGCGGCGUGCUUAACACAUGCAAGUCGAACGAUGAACCUCACUUGUGGGGGGAUUAGUGGCGAACGGGUGAGUAACACGUGAGUAACCUGCCCUUGACUCUGGGAUAAGCCUGGGAAACCGGGUCUAAUACUGGAUACGACCUUCUGGCGCAUGCCAUGUUGGUGGAAAGCUUUUGUGGUUUUGGAUGGACUCGCGGCCUAUCAGCUUGUUGGUGGGGUAAUGGCCUACCAAGGCGACGACGGGUAGCCGGCCUGAGAGGGUGACCGGCCACACUGGGACUGAGACACGGCCCAGACUCCUACGGGAGGCAGCAGUGGGGAAUAUUGCACAAUGGGCGCAAGCCUGAUGCAGCGACGCCGCGUGAGGGAUGAAGGCCUUCGGGUUGUAAACCUCUUUCAGUAGG
Molecule: ribosomal RNA, 421 nt
Filed under: Arthrobacter sp.
Lineage: Bacteria; Bacillati; Actinomycetota; Actinomycetes; Micrococcales; Micrococcaceae
Description: bacterial SSU rRNA
Rfam family: Bacterial small subunit ribosomal RNA
Source: RNAcentral